GUCGCAUCGCCAUCUUUUGACGUAAAAACGAAUUCAACUCAAAUUUACGUCAAUUGUUUGCUUAUCAGUGCUCUUAUAAUGAUAUAAUUUUAUGAUUUUUUAAAUGUUAUUUUUCUUAAUUUUUCAAAAAUCCAAAAUACAACAAUUUUCAAUAAGUAGUUAAAAAGCAUCGUCGAUUUUGCGGAGUCUUACAAGAAUGUCGCACUUGCUUAAAAACAACGUUUCAGUCGAAGUUUUGGUUUGAACGUUACGAAAUAUUCGCGACGUUGUGUUACGCUUACAUGUACGAACAUCGCGCGUAACGUCAAUGU
RNAcentral lists this long non-coding RNA (311 nucleotides) under Mytilus galloprovincialis (Mediterranean mussel). Lineage: Eukaryota; Metazoa; Mollusca; Bivalvia; Mytilida; Mytilidae. The record is from RNAcentral.